UAGAUGAGAAAAGCCUUAAAGAAAAUUGAUAUAAAAAGAAUAAAAAAAAAAUGUAUUUUUGAAGAAACUAAAAUGAUUAAUGGCAAAGAUAAGAAAACUAUAAACUCUUGAAAUUAGAUUAGAAUCAAUAAAAGAUUAGGCGAGAGUGAUGAAGGCCCUCAUUCUUGCUUCUAGAUAUACUAUUUAAUUAAAGAAUUAUGUAGCAAUAUUCUAUUGAUUAUUUCUAAUAUGUCUUACUUAAUAGAUACAAGUUUAACUUGCAAGACAAAUUACCAACAUGUGUAUUAUAUAGCCAACUUGUA
RNAcentral lists this long non-coding RNA (302 nucleotides) under Physcomitrium patens. RNAcentral describes it as "long non-coding RNA (PPAT_LNC007522)". Lineage: Eukaryota; Viridiplantae; Streptophyta; Bryopsida; Funariales; Funariaceae. The record is from RNAcentral.